CCUACGGGAGGCAGCAGUGGGGAAUUUUCCGCAAUGGGCGAAAGCCUGACGGAGCAAUACCGCGUGAGGGAGGAAGGCUCUUGGGUUGUAAACCUCUUUUCUUAGGGAAUAAGUUCUGAAGGUACCUAAGGAAUAAGCAUCGGCUAACUCCGUGCCAGCAGCCGCGGUAAUAC
This 173-nucleotide ribosomal RNA is filed under the name uncultured cyanobacterium. RNAcentral describes it as "partial 16S rRNA". It matches the Rfam family "Bacterial small subunit ribosomal RNA", at positions 338 to 526 of the family's 1533-position model. Lineage: Bacteria; Bacillati; Cyanobacteriota. The record is from RNAcentral.